This is a long non-coding RNA of Bombus impatiens (common eastern bumble bee), 863 nucleotides long. RefSeq lists it as uncharacterized. NCBI's taxonomy places the organism in Eukaryota, Metazoa, Arthropoda, Insecta, Hymenoptera, Apidae. The record is from RefSeq and is a predicted model, not a curated record. The transcript has 3 exons.
GUUUAUUGUCGAAAAUCAGAGUGAUUAAAUGUGUAUCUGUGUUAUUCCGUGACAGGUGUCAAUUUCUCCGCUGCGUAGUGUUUUUAUAAUCAUUCGUUUACUGGUAACUUCGUUUAAUUAAUAUCAUUGCUUCAUUGCGAGGGAAACUUUGAAGCAUUAGAGGGAUACACGAAAUACAAAAGAACACUGCGAUGAUCGACAAUGAGUCCGAAAACUUUUCAUGCAGAUUUGAUCCUCGAUUUGGUGGUUCGCUUCGACUUUUGGAAUAGUAGCUGAUUACCGACUAUCGACGAGCGUGUGUCGCCCGUAUGCAACGUAUUGCGAACCGAAAAGCUGACGGCGGAUCCUCCAAAGGCUGGUUCGUUUCGCUUUGUUGCGGUAAAGGCUUGACAAAUAGGGAAUCUAGGCUUGGAGGCUAUCGAGUGCCGUAAUUACUCGACGCAACUCGUACUCGCCUAUGCGUAGAGAUGAUAAGAAGGGUGAUACGAAGCAACAAAAACGAGGAAACGAUUUCUCGUCUUUCCAAUUCUUUGGACGAAGCGUAAAUUCAAUUCGAGAAGGAACACGUAUGAAAACAGCGUUAACGAGUUCGACGAAACGUACCGCGUUGUUCUUGUCUCGCUUGACCGCCUCUGUGCGUAUACGGAACUUUUGAAAUGGCGAAACGAGCGGACCUCGCCGCGCGGCGCAUAGAGUUUCAUCUCGGGAGAUUACACGAAUCGUGAUCAAAGUAAACCGAUGAAGAAACGAAGCUUGCUAACGACGAGAGGAUCAGGGCGAGGAAAAGUGAAGCGAACGGAUAGGGGAAGAAAAUAGAAGAAUGAGAGAGAAACGGCCGAGAUGGGUGGCAAUGGGAGAAGGAG